This 465-nucleotide ribosomal RNA is filed under the name uncultured bacterium. RNAcentral's name for it is "partial 16S ribosomal RNA". It matches the Rfam family "Bacterial small subunit ribosomal RNA", at positions 28 to 507 of the family's 1533-position model. The record is from RNAcentral.
GACGAACGCUGGCGGCGUGCUUAACACAUGCAAGUCGAACGGAAAGGCCCCUUUGGGGGUACUCGAGUGGCGAACGGGUGAGUAACACGUGAGUAACCUGCCCUUGACUUCGGGAUAACUUCAGGAAACUGGGGCUAAUACCGGAUAGGAAUCCUUGCUGCAUGGUGGGGGUUGGAAAGCUUCGGCGGUUUUGGAUGGACUCGCGGCUUAUCAGCUUGUUGGUGGGGGAGUGGCUUACCAAGGCUUUGACGGGUAGCCGGCCUGAGGGGGCGACCGGCCACAUUGGGACUGAGAUACGGCCCAGACUCCUACGGGAGGCAGCAGUGGGGAAUAUUGCACAAUGGGCGGAAGCCUGAUGCAGCAACGCCGCGUGCGGGAUGACGGCCUUCGGGUUGUAAACCGCUUUCAGCAGGGGCGAAGCUUGUGGUGACGGUACCUGCAGAAGAAGCACCGGCUAACUACGUG